UACGUAGGGGGCAAGCGUUGUCCGGAAUCAUUGGGCGUAAAGCGCGUGUAGGCGGCCAGAAAAGUCCGCUGUGAAAACUCGAGGCUCAACUUCGAGCUGUCGGUGGAAACUUUCUGGCUAGAGUCCAGUAGGGGAGUGUGGAAUUCCCGGUGUAGCGGUGAAAUGCGCAGAUAUCGGGAGGAACACCAGCGGCGAAGGCGGCACUCUGGGCUGGUACUGACGCUGAGGAGCGAAAGCGUGGGUAGCAAACAGG
RNAcentral lists this ribosomal RNA (253 nucleotides) under uncultured bacterium. RNAcentral describes it as "partial 16S ribosomal RNA". It matches the Rfam family "Bacterial small subunit ribosomal RNA", at positions 524 to 776 of the family's 1533-position model. The record is from RNAcentral.